CAUUUAAGAAAAUACACUCCUAUCAUCCUCGACUCACAAACCAUUUCAUCGCGUCCCGAUUUCAGGACCGAAAAUGCCGAGUGCUACUCCGCCGCCAUUGAUUUGCUCGAUCUGCAACGGAGAGACAUUCACGAGUCAAGCUCAGCUUCGCAUUCACCUGUACCAAGCUCACGGAAAAUUGAAUUGCCCGAAAUGCUUGAACUACUGCGAUACAAUCGCUGCGCUCGCGAGCCACUUGGCCGUAGAACAUUUGGCGGUUGAUAGCGACUCUUACGACUCACAAAGCGACUCUAGUGAUGUCCUCAGUACCACUACGGAGGAGGUCUCCGGAGAAGACUCUGGAGUGGAUGACACCUCUCUAGAUUCCUCUCUUGAGUCCAACCAAUAAAUUUGCGAGUUGCUUUAAGUCUGUUACCAGGUAUCAUGUCGUUUAAUAAACGGAUUUAAUUUCAA
Dalotia coriaria is the source of this 453-nucleotide long non-coding RNA. RefSeq lists it as uncharacterized. The transcript has 2 exons. The record is from RefSeq and is a predicted model, not a curated record. Lineage: Eukaryota; Metazoa; Arthropoda; Insecta; Coleoptera; Staphylinidae.